RNAcentral lists this ribosomal RNA (388 nucleotides) under uncultured bacterium. Its description in RNAcentral is "bacterial SSU rRNA". It matches the Rfam family "Bacterial small subunit ribosomal RNA", at positions 30 to 416 of the family's 1533-position model. The record is from RNAcentral.
AUUGAACGCUGGCGGCAUGCCUUACACAUGCAAGUCGAACGGCAGCACGGGAGCUUGCUCCUGGUGGCGAGUGGCGAACGGGUGAGUAAUACAUCGGAACGUACCCUGAAGUGGAGGAUAACGUAGCGAAAGUUACGCUAAUACCGCAUAUUCUGUGAGCAGGAAAGAGGGGGAUCGCAAGACCUCUUGCUUUAGGAGCGGCCGAUGUCGGAUUAGCUAGUUGGUGAGGUAAAGGCUCACCAAGGCGACGAUCCGUAGCGGGUCUGAGAGGAUGGUCCGCCACACUGGGACUGAGACACGGCCCAGACUCCUACGGGAGGCAGCAGUGGGGAAUUUUGGACAAUGGGCGCAAGCCUGAUCCAGCCAUGCCGCGUGAGUGAAGAAGGCC